AUACGGAGGGUGCAAGCGUUAUCCGGAUUUAUUGGGUUUAAAGGGUGCGCAGGCGGUAUAAUAAGUCAGUGGUGAAAACUUGCAGCUUAACUGUAAGACUGCCAUUGAAACUGUUGUACUUGAGUUAUCUUGAGGUAGGCGGAAUGUGUAGUGUAGCGGUGAAAUGCUUAGAUAUUACACAGAACACCGAUUGCGAAGGCAGCUUACUAAGGAUAAACUGACGCUCAGGCACGAAAGCGUGGGGAUC
Molecule: ribosomal RNA, 247 nt
Filed under: uncultured bacterium
Lineage: Bacteria
Description: partial 16S ribosomal RNA
Rfam family: Bacterial small subunit ribosomal RNA
Source: RNAcentral